This is a long non-coding RNA of Hermetia illucens (black soldier fly), 481 nucleotides long. RefSeq lists it as uncharacterized. NCBI's taxonomy places the organism in Eukaryota, Metazoa, Arthropoda, Insecta, Diptera, Stratiomyidae. The record is from RefSeq and is a predicted model, not a curated record. The transcript has 2 exons.
UUGACAAUUUUCAAAAAAUUAUUUCAAAAAUCUCCAAACUGUUCCAAUCGAUUAUAUCAGAAAUUUCCAUUUCAAAUCCAAAAUUUUCCGUUUCAAAGUAAGAAUUUUCUAUUUCAAGUUCAGAAUUUUGUCAAAUUUUUGUAACGAAUUAAAUUUUCAUUUUCUGAAAAUGGACGCCGGGUGGGUCACCCCAAGGGCACUUGGCACAGAACAGGCGAGGCGCAUUUCAGUUUUCUUAAGGAUUGAGCCGAGGUAUUUUGAAAAAUGUAUGAGCGCCCGAAGACCUCAAGAUUCAAAUUAAGAAUAAAAAAAUCGGCGGUAUUUGGCUCUAUAGCUUUCUGUAGAACUUUUUCUAGAAUGAAGAAAUUCUAUUCAAAAAAUUAAAAAUACAACUCCGAACAAGUGAACCAAAUGUUUAGAAAUACAGCUCUAGCUUUUCACAAAAUCAUUGACAGUAAACAUUAAAACGAAAUUAUAAAGA